GCGAGGUCUGGAGUUCUUACC
Molecule: microRNA, 21 nt
Filed under: Cordylochernes scorpioides
Lineage: Eukaryota; Metazoa; Arthropoda; Arachnida; Pseudoscorpiones; Chernetidae
Source: RNAcentral